RNAcentral lists this ribosomal RNA (253 nucleotides) under uncultured bacterium. RNAcentral describes it as "partial 16S ribosomal RNA". It matches the Rfam family "Bacterial small subunit ribosomal RNA", at positions 524 to 776 of the family's 1533-position model. The record is from RNAcentral.
UACGAAGGUCCCAAGCGUUAUCCGGAUUUAUUGGGUUUAAAGGGUGCGUAGGCGGGUUAUUAAGUCAGUGGUGAAAGCCUUCAGCUUAACUGAAGAAUUGCCAUUGAUACUGAUGAUCUUGAGUAUGAUUGAGGUUGGCGGAAUGUGUCAUGUAGCGGUGAAAUGCUUAGAUAUGACACAGAACACCGAUUGCGAAGGCAGCUAACUAAGUCAUAACUGACGCUGAUGCACGAAAGCGUGGGGAGCAAACAGG